AAAAAUUUGUGCAGUUUAUGGACCCGAUACAGUUUCCAUUUCCACCGCACAACGAUGGUUUCAACGUUUUCGCCUGUCGUCGAAAAUUGCGAUAAAAUCGCUGAAUUGGUCGAAAGAGACCGGCAUAGUAGCAGCCGUAGCAUCGGUCAAGAGCUGGGCAUGAGUCAUCAAAAAUUCAUUUCAAUUUCAAUAAAAAAAAAAUU
Molecule: long non-coding RNA, 203 nt
Organism: Bactrocera neohumeralis
Lineage: Eukaryota; Metazoa; Arthropoda; Insecta; Diptera; Tephritidae
Exons: 2
Source: RefSeq, a predicted model, not a curated record